Phrynosoma platyrhinos (Desert horned lizard) is the source of this 72-nucleotide non-coding RNA. The record is from the annotation of a GenBank genome assembly. Lineage: Eukaryota; Metazoa; Chordata; Lepidosauria; Squamata; Phrynosomatidae.
GCCGGUGUGGUGUAGUGGUUUAGGCACUGAACUAUGACUUUGGAGACCAGGGUUCGAAUCCUCACUCGGCCA